Molecule: long non-coding RNA, 1193 nt
Filed under: Sinocyclocheilus grahami
Lineage: Eukaryota; Metazoa; Chordata; Actinopteri; Cypriniformes; Cyprinidae
Description: lncRNA (ENSSGRG00000046097.1)
Source: RNAcentral
CUUAUCAUGAUAAACUGGACCAUGCCUGGUUGAUUCAUGGGUAAUCUGAGUUGCCUGUAGGCCUAUGGCAGCAGUAACUUUAUCAAAGGCCAUGUGAUCACUACUAUGACCAGUUUAACACACAUGGCGAGCCACCGCACUACCCUUCCCAUGUGUGAUGGCUUUGCCUCUCUUUGAUUCCUGCACAGAAAACGUCGAGGUGCACCAAGUGGCUCUGCAGGGUCUGAGAGGAUAGAAGCACUGAGAUAUCAACGAGUGAAAAAAGCCAAGAAAAUCGGCAUCAACAAUAACAACUCCAAGACCAGACGAAAGAUGGGUGUGCCCCCCUCUCAGAUCCAGCAGCCCCACACCUCUCAGGUCCUCCAGCCAGAAGAAGCUCUCUACCUCCGCAAGAAGAAGAAAAAGUUGACUCGCCAGGACCCGUAUGCCCGCUUUUCCGCUCUGCUGUACCGCCGCCCGCCCCGAGAAGACCAGAAAGCCAUUUUGGCUAGUAUGGACACAGCAGACCCAGACCACGCCACUCUCCUCUGAAGUCCCAGAGAUUACAGACCACACUCUCCCCAAACUCUGAGCUCCUUCCACCUUUGCUCAGCCAGCCAACGUCUUCACGUCCACCCCUGAAUCCAAUGGUUUACUCCUCUUCUCUUUUCCGUUACGCUUAAUGUAUCACAAGAAAAUGCUUGUGUUCCAAGGUUUUGCUCUAGUCCAUUUACCUCAAAUUCAGAAGGAUCGUCAUGUUGAGCAGAUUAAAAAGAAUAUCUUGUAUGCCUCAUUUCAUCUUAGUGACUCUUAUCAGAUGGUGCAUUAGAUAAGAGAACAGCUGUCAAGCUUCUGUUUCAUUCUGCCAACAGUAGAUCACAGGGUUUUCACAGGUAUACCUCAAACUCACCACAAUCUCAGUGCUGCUAUACUGACAAAUACAGAAGACGUUAGCAAUCCGAACAUUUGUUUGUAUUUUCAAAUAUGACAUUCCACAGUGCAAAUUUUGAACGUAUUCGCAAACCAUCCAUGAAACGUGCCAUGUACACUACCAUUCAAAAGUUUGAGGUCAGUAAGAUUUUCUGAUGUUUUUGAAAGUAAUCUCUUGAUCCUUCAGAAAUCUUUUGAAUAUGUUGAUUUGGUGCUCAAGAAACAUUUCUUAUUAUUAUCAAUGUUGAAAACAAUUGUACUGCUCAAUAUUUUUGUGAAACCCA